AAAUGGUUCUCUUUACUGCGAGGCUGCAAGGUCACCCAAUGAGAGAGGGGCCAAAUAAGCUGGAACAUCAUCUAAUACACUGAAUGAGUUACUGGAAAAGCAAGAAUAACUUAUGCGGAUUAACAAUAUGGAAACAUCCUGAAACUACUUUGGAAUUGCCAUAAAUUAAGUGGGUUCAAGUUUUGCAAACAGAGAAACGGGUCCAUGAACAAUUUGCUACAGGUAUAAAGAAGUAUCUGCAGAAAUCCAGAGCACUUAUUAAACUUCUUUGAGUUUUCUCAGGAAGAUCAAUACCUGUUG
This is a long non-coding RNA of Pongo pygmaeus (Bornean orangutan), 300 nucleotides long. RefSeq lists it as uncharacterized. The transcript has 3 exons. NCBI's taxonomy places the organism in Eukaryota, Metazoa, Chordata, Mammalia, Primates, Hominidae. The record is from RefSeq and is a predicted model, not a curated record.